This 452-nucleotide ribosomal RNA is filed under the name uncultured bacterium. RNAcentral's name for it is "bacterial SSU rRNA". It matches the Rfam family "Bacterial small subunit ribosomal RNA", at positions 29 to 526 of the family's 1533-position model. The record is from RNAcentral.
AACGAACGCUGGCGGCAGGCUUAACACAUGCAAGUCGAACGCUCUCUUCGGAGAGAGUGGCAGACGGGUGAGUAACACGUGGGAACCAACCCUUCGGUACGGAAUAGCCUCGGGAAACUGGGAGUAAUACCGUAUACGCCCCUUGGGGGAAAGAUUUAUCGCCGAAGGACGGGCCCGCGUCUGAUUAGCUAGUUGGUGAGGUAAUGGCUCACCAAGGCGACGAUCAGUAGCUGGUCUGAGAGGAUGAUCAGCCACACUGGGACUGAGACACGGCCCAGACUCCUACGGGAGGCAGCAGUGGGGAAUAUUGGACAAUGGGGGAAACCCUGAUCCAGCCAUGCCGCGUGAGUGACGAAGGCCUUAGGGUUGUAAAGCUCUUUUGGCGGGGACGAUAAUGACGGUACCCGCAGAAUAAGCUCCGGCUAACUUCGUGCCAGCCGCCGCAGUAACAC